UUGCAAAGCACUCUGAAAAGAGGGUGAAAAGAACCUGAAACCGUUAUGUUGAGAGCGUAUUGCAGCAGAGUGAAGGGUGCGUUUUGUUCAGCUUGCGCUUGCGUAGGUGUACUCGGAACGUUAUCCGCCAGUCGUGAGCUUUCGGUGGCUGAUCCAUAGUCGCUGGAGGUGGAGGGCUCCCCUUUACGGGUAGAGGACGAAUCUGGAUAAUGCUGUGAUUCGACCCGUCUUGAAACACGGACCAAGAAGUCUAGCGUACAUGCGAGUCAAAGGGUGUAAAAACCUGUGGGCGCAGUGAAAGCGAUUUUAAAACGUUGCAGUUUGAGGCGGCAUACGAUCGUUGAUUGUAGGUCUGACCCCGAGCAUGUAUGAUAGGACCCGAAAGAUGGUGAACUAUGCUUGAGUAGGGUGAAGCCAGGAGAAAUCCUGGUGGAAGCUCGUAGCGGUGCUGACGUGCAAAUCGCUCGUCUAACUUGAGUAUAGGGGCGAAAGACUAAUCGAACCAUCUGGUAGCUGGUUUCCUCCGAAGUUUCUCUCAGGAUAGCGGACCGAUAUAGUGUUGUUGUGUGC
RNAcentral lists this ribosomal RNA (570 nucleotides) under Vertebrata sp. _2fucoides. RNAcentral describes it as "eukaryotic LSU rRNA". It matches the Rfam family "Eukaryotic large subunit ribosomal RNA", at positions 364 to 1006 of the family's 3401-position model. The record is from RNAcentral. Lineage: Eukaryota; Rhodophyta; Florideophyceae; Ceramiales; Rhodomelaceae.